GAUGAACGCUAGCGGCAGGCUUAACACAUGCAAGUCGAGGGGUAUUGGUUUUCGGACCAAGAGACCGGCGCACGGGUGCGUAACGCGUAUGCAAUCUACCUUUUGCAGAGGGAUAGCCCAGAGAAAUUUGGAUUAAUACCUCAUAGUAUAGUACUUUGGCAUCAAGGAACUAUUAAAGUCACAACGGCAAAGAUGAGCAUGCGUCCCAUUAGCUUGUUGGUGAGGUAACGGCUCACCAAGGCUGUGAUGGCUAGCUGGUCUGAGAGGAUGACCAGCCACACUGGGACUGAGACACGGCCCAGACCCCUACGGAGGCAGCAGUGGGGAAUAUUGCGCAAUGGGCGAAAGCCUGACGCAGCGACGCCGCGUGGGUGAUGAAGGCC
This 383-nucleotide ribosomal RNA is filed under the name uncultured bacterium. RNAcentral describes it as "bacterial SSU rRNA". It matches the Rfam family "Bacterial small subunit ribosomal RNA", at positions 28 to 416 of the family's 1533-position model. The record is from RNAcentral.